Molecule: long non-coding RNA, 976 nt
Organism: Onychostruthus taczanowskii (white-rumped snowfinch)
Lineage: Eukaryota; Metazoa; Chordata; Aves; Passeriformes; Passeridae
Exons: 8
Source: RefSeq, a predicted model, not a curated record
CUGGGAGCUGCGGCGGACCCCAGCCUGCAGCGGGGGGAGAGAAAAUUACAAUGCUGUUUAUUUUUUAAUGUCUGCAGGGCAGUCAUGUUUUAACAGAGUGCAACAGUCCAGGCUGAUGGUAAAUGCCCCAAACAAUCAUCUUUGCUUAUUUUGUGACUGAUUGUUACACCUGGGAAAACGAGCUGCAUCAUGGGUAGAGCUGGCAGAAGUCCCACAGUUUCCAUAUACCAUGUGUGCCUGUAUCUGUGAGGUUUUUAUACAAAUCCCGUGCUUUAUGGGCUUGUGUCCGUGCAGAGCACAGUUGGCUUGCUCUUGUUCCCAACACAGGUAGUUCUUGUGGAAUGGAUCUGCCAUCAGCCCCUUGGAUCUUGCUCCUCUGGUAAAUGAUCUGCUCUCAGGUGAUGCCACCCAGCUGUGAUUGUUGCUGCUUGCUCACAUUACCCUGCAAUUCCUUCAUUUUGGUUUUCUGCUUGACUGGGACUGCAGCAGAGUUCUGACACAAUCUCAGCCAGGGCUCUGUUGUUCCUGGUUGAAGUCAACGAGUGCUCUGAGUGCACACAAAAAAUGCAACCCAGUGAUGCUUCCACCUGCCCAGUCCUCAAGGAAAUAUCAGCAGCCACUGAUGGGAAGAGGCUUCCUAAUUCAGAGUGAGCCCUGUUUCCCUCUGCAGGGCCUGUUCCAGUGGGGGAUGUGUAUUUUUAAUUAUCUGCUGUCCUUAUUUAAAGAGAUUUGUCCCUGCACGGUGUAAGUGUACCUCUGCUGGUUCCUUGGAGCCUCGUGCAGCUCGUUGCUGCCUGUGAGCCUUUUGUAACCAAUUCCAAAGCACCUUCAAAGCACACUCAAAUCUUGUCAGCACCGGAGCUCUUUGUAAAGCACCCCAGGACGGACAAAAGAUGCUCAUGGAGGAGUGCAUAAGGUCAUUUAAUCAGUGUGCUGCCUUCUGAAGGGGUGGGUGACCCUCUGAGGGCUGGGCUGA